Puntigrus tetrazona (Sumatra barb) is the source of this 2145-nucleotide non-coding RNA. NCBI's taxonomy places the organism in Eukaryota, Metazoa, Chordata, Actinopteri, Cypriniformes, Cyprinidae. The record is from the annotation of a RefSeq genome assembly.
AAAUGCAAUGGGAAAUUGGAAAAAAAUAUGUAUCUAAUGGCAGGUAAUUGAGUGUAAUUGGCUCUUUUACCCAAGAUGGAUAAAAUGGUUCAGAGAGGAGGAACUCAGUGAUGUACAGGAUGUAAUGUUCAACAGAGACUGUGGUGGAUACAAUUCAGUCGGACUCUUCUCAGAAGACUUGUACAAUGGAUCUGCAUUUAGUUACGCUGUUCUGUGCCUCAGCAGUUGCUGUCUUGGGAAAUGUCAUCAAACCAGACAAAACAGACAUUUUUGAGGUGGAGGGUUUAGAUAUUACAUUGUCCUGUAUUUAUUCCUCUUCAACUACAGAUAAUCUCUACUGGUACCGUCAGUAUGGGAGAUCAAAACCUGAAUUUCUUGUACUCACCUACAGCAGUGCAAAAGAAGCUCAGCGCUCUGAUGUAGAUCCAAGAUUCUCUGUUAAUGUGACAAAAAAGGAACAAAUCCGUGUUGAUCUGAUCAUCUCUUCUGCUGCUGUAUCAGACUCUGCUCUGUAUUACUGUGCUCUGGAGCCCACAGUGACAGGAAACACAUCAGCUCUAUACAAAAACCUGCUACAAUGAGAGACAGAAGAGAAACGACAGAGAUGAAGACUGAGCGAAAGAAGGUGUAAGUGGCAAUUAUGGUAUUGUGCACUAAUAAAAAUAAACAAACAAACAAACAAAAAUAACAACAGGCUGUACCAAAUAUGGUAGAAAUUUCUUUUUAUUAUGUAUUUUUAUGUAUGCAUUUGUGUGGCUAAAGCUGAACAAUAAGGGAAUCAAUAGGCCUAGAUUAAAAACAACAAUAACAACAAUGUAAAAUUUGGGAUUGUAAAUUAUAGAUAAAAUGUUAAACAUAUAAAUCAACAUUACAAAUGAAAACUGAAAGCAGAAUCGUGACAUUGUUAAUUCCAAUAGAUUCAUACAAAAGUACAGUAGAGUAUGGUUUAUGGUUCAAUCAAAAUGCACCACAAGGUGGCAGUCUUCUCAAACGUUCUUUAGGAACUGAAGCCAUGAGUGUCAUUUUUUUCCUUAACAACAUUUUUAUAUUUUAACGUUUUUAUAAAGAUGUGAUUUAUUACACUUUGAUUUAUUAAAAGCUUUCUGAAUAAUAUAAUUACUUCAAAUUUUCCUAAACAAUUAAUGUUACAACGCCUUCACUGGUUUCUCAAUCUCAGAGAUCAGAAAGUUCCUGAAUGUCUUGAUUAGAGCAGAAAGAAUCAGUAACACACAGUCAGAGCACACAGAGUAUUAACACAUGUAUGAUCUGAUCAUACUCACCAUGGACAAAUACAUGCUGCUGCUUUUCAUUAUAGCAUCAGGUGUGUCACUUACUUUAGAUUUUUUAGUAACAGCUUUAAAUACCCUAUAAAACACUGAAUGGUAUAUUACCGAUUUCUUUAUUUUUUUCCGAACACAUGCAGAGUAACUAUUGUUAGAAUGUUUAUCAUAAGAAACUGUUAAUAUUGUGCUUUCUCUGCAGAUGUAAUGGCUGUGAACAAGAUUGAGCCAAAUAGAAGGACAAAUGUCAUUAAAACAGAAGGAGAGACUGUAAUGCUGAGCUGCUCUUAUGAUUCAGACAGUGAAUGUAUAUGUCUAUAUUGGUACAGAUAAUAUCACAAUGAAGAUACUCAAUAUUUAUUACAUCAAGGUGCUCGACCAAGCCUUAAAAAGCACACCUCCAAUCUUUGAUUUACGUCAAGUACUUCUUGCAUACUUAUUAUUAGUAGUGUGACUGUGUCAGAUUCAGCUCUUUAUUACUGCUCUUUAAGAGCUGAAGCCCAGUGAUGCAAAACACGAAACUAGUUGUACUACAAGACAUUUUCACUUUGAACCUAUUAUGAAAAUCAAAUCAAACCUCAAUGUUAGAUAAUAAAUUCAAACACCUGUGUGAGGUUGAGAGAAGAAAUAUUUCACAAAAGGAACAAAAGGGGAUAAUAAGAAUUGCAACUGCAAUGAGUGUACAUUCACUCGCUUUAUUCGCUAACACGUUUAACAUCAUGUGGCCUUAUUACAGCUGUGUGACACCAGCAAGAAACCAAAAGAGGGCAAUAUCUCUCAGUAUCACACUAAUAGAGUGGAGUCCUUUAAGCUCCUCCUCAAACUCCUAUGUUACGAUAGCAUACCUGUCUUAUUUAUUUUGACU